CCCGAUCUUGUAAGCCUAAGUAGU
Molecule: small nuclear RNA, 24 nt
Filed under: Arabidopsis thaliana (thale cress)
Lineage: Eukaryota; Viridiplantae; Streptophyta; Magnoliopsida; Brassicales; Brassicaceae
Description: snRNA_13785
Source: RNAcentral